UGAAGGGGUACAGUUAGGGUUACCCCAGAAAGCCCUAAAAACUGUUUGUGAAUUCCCCCCCCCAGCCAGGCCUCAGCGUAUGCAUUUUAAAAACUGCAUUUUCCUCUAAGACAAAAAGUACGAGCUAAGCAGUCCUCUCUGUAACAAAAACGCUGUAACAAACCUACAGCUGAGAAAAGUACCUCUUUCGCUUCCCAUAUCCAAGAUAACCUUGUCCUGGCACAUUGAUUUGCAACAUACUUCCGGGAACAGAGCUAGAGAACGAAAAGCAACAUUUCUAUGUAAGAAUCUGUGAAGGGGGAGAGGAAAAAAAGGGGUUUGGGAAAAAGGAUAAAACCUGCUUGUAAAAUG
Molecule: long non-coding RNA, 351 nt
Organism: Podarcis raffonei (Aeolian wall lizard)
Lineage: Eukaryota; Metazoa; Chordata; Lepidosauria; Squamata; Lacertidae
Exons: 2
Source: RefSeq, a predicted model, not a curated record